UACUAGAGUAGCACUCGCAUAUCAAUAAGCGGAGGAAAAGAAACUAACAAGGAUUCCCCUAGUAACGGCGAGUGAAGCGGGAAGAGCUCAAAUUUGAAAUCUUAAAGGGUUUCCCUUUACGAAUUGUAGUUUAAAGAAGUGUUUUCUGUUGAGGUUUUGGUAAAAGUUCUUUGGAAUAGGACAUCAUAGAGGGUGAGAAUCCCGUAUUUGACCUUUACUUUCAACUUUGUGAUACACUUUCAAAGAGUCGGAUUGUUUGGGAAUGCAGUCCGAAAUGGGUGGUAAAUUUCAUCUAAAGCUAAAUAUUGGCGAGAGACCGAUAGCGAACAAGUACCGUGAGGGAAAGAUGAAAAGAACUUUGAAAAGAGAGUUAAACAGUACGUGAAAUUGUCAAAAGGGAAGCGUUUGACACCAGUGUUGUUUUUCUGAAAAUCAAUUAAAGAACUGUUUAUGCUAAGCUGUUUAGACUUUAUCAGCUAUCUGUUUAGUUUUGAGCUUUUCUUUAAUGCACUUUUCAGUUAACAAGUCAACAUCAAUUUCUUUUGCUGUAAAAAAGCUUGAGGAAGGUGGCUUGAGAUUCGUCUUAAGUGUUUAUAGCCUCUUGCCUAUGCAGUCGGAGAGAUUGAGGUCUGCAGCGUAGAUCCUUCGGGGCUAAAUGCAUUUGUGCUAAGUUAUAGCAUUUUAUAGACAACUUGUUGACUAUGAUUUGUCUUGUAGCUUACUCGCUUAUGUUAUUUUACCUACGCUUAGGAUGUUGAACUCUAUCACACACA
This 773-nucleotide ribosomal RNA is filed under the name uncultured Neocallimastigales. RNAcentral's name for it is "partial large subunit ribosomal RNA". It matches the Rfam family "Eukaryotic large subunit ribosomal RNA", at positions 20 to 628 of the family's 3401-position model. Lineage: Eukaryota; Fungi; Neocallimastigomycota; Neocallimastigomycetes; Neocallimastigales. The record is from RNAcentral.